GCAGAUAUGGCCGAGUGGUUAAGGCGAUGGUCUUAAGAAAGUCUCUUAAGUUCACCAUUAUCGAAAGAUGCAAGGGUUCGAACCCCUUUGUCUGCA
This 96-nucleotide transfer RNA is filed under the name Stachybotrys chlorohalonatus IBT 40285. RNAcentral's name for it is "Stachybotrys chlorohalonata IBT 40285 tRNA". It matches the Rfam family "tRNA". Rfam says of the family: Transfer RNA (tRNA) molecules are approximately 80 nucleotides in length. The record is from Rfam by way of RNAcentral. Lineage: Eukaryota; Fungi; Ascomycota; Sordariomycetes; Hypocreales; Stachybotryaceae.